RNAcentral lists this unclassified non-coding RNA (1514 nucleotides) under Hevea brasiliensis (rubber tree). Lineage: Eukaryota; Viridiplantae; Streptophyta; Magnoliopsida; Malpighiales; Euphorbiaceae. The record is from RNAcentral.
GUGCAUGUGUGUUUUUGUUCUCUUUGUUUUGAGUAGAAUUGUUGGUCAAAUCCUGGCCUCCAAAUUUCUUAAGAUGCCAGUUACUGUAGUUGAUUACGACCCAUCGAAUGGCAAGUGGAAUAUCAUUCAACAACAAAAUAUGCUUUAUGAAAGAACAAGAAUUUUGAAUGGCUCUGCCUCUUCUAUGAGUGUUGCCAACCGGUCCUUGGAUAAUCUAAACUUUGGAUCUUCAAGUGAAAGUCAAAUCUGAAGAUGAUAACUUGUGGAAUGACCUUGCAGAGUUUUAUACUUGUGAACGUUAUAAUGUCUCUUCUUAUGAUGGAGUUUCAAUUCCUCUUAACUAUCAUACAUUCACGCAAACAUAACUAUGCAUAUCAAAACCCUGGGUUGCUUCAUGGGCAUGGAGCUUAUGGGCAUGGAGCUUAGGGUGAGUUACUUGACAAAAGAUGGUGUAGUGAGUUGAAAAGCCUUCUUGAUCGGGGCUGGGUUAUUGCAUAUGCCAAUCUUAGCUGAAUUUGAAGAGUUUGAAUACCCAGGGGAACGAGGACAUCAAUAUUUUUCAUGCCACAAGGAAAUAUCUUCUAUAUAUGGCAAUGUUCAGAAGAAUGUCCUUUACCCUCCUAUAUUGAUAACCUCAUCUUUUAACACACGGUAAUCUCCUCACACGCUCUGCUGGCUUCGUUCAUGGUCAAUACAAACAAUCGUGAACUUGUUGGAUUAUUGAAAAUCCAAACCAUUUCUAGUUGAUGCAUAUUUGUAAUCUUGAAACGUGGUUAUGACGUGUCAAAUAGGUAGGACUUAAAUAUGGCAGGGAGGUACUGAGGUUUCUCCUGAUAUUCGAAAUUUAUCAGCUGUCCUUUCUUCUAUUUGGUAACUUCGUAAGUUCUUAUGCUUUUGGUUUGAUAAUGAUGGAUACUUUUUAUUUUUUCCUUAGAUGUGAUCUUAUUUCUCAUUCAAUGCUUGAAGAAUUAAGUUCCAAUAAUUGAUUCUAAUGUGCAUAGGUUUGAUCUGAGAUGAGAUUUUCUCCUUUCAGCUGGAUAAGGGUGGACUUUAUGGAAGAUGGAUAAUGAUGAAAAUGAGCAAUUUCAUUAUAUCGAUGGGUGGACUUCAUUGAGAUUCAUUAUUGAGAUAUAUUCAUUGAUGUGUAUUCUUAAUGUGUAAUCUGAAAAGCUGGAUAAUGGGUGGACUUUAUUGAGAUACUUAUUAUAUUGAUGGGUGCAAUGAGUUUGUUUCAAGCAUAUGCCUACAUGACUGGUUGUAUCAUUCAUUUGAUGUGAGGUCACUGGAUAUGUGGCAAAAGAUCUUGAGCAUAUCUUCCUAUCUAUGAAGAUUAAUGCCCAUUUGACUGAACAAAAUAUAUUUUUUUUCCUGCUUUAGUAUAAAUAUUUAUGAUGACAAAGUGAAUCUGCUUUUCAUCUUCUAGAAAUAAUUUUUUUUUUUUUAGCGUUUGCUUUUGUCAUGAGUGAGGUGUUCAUACUUUCAUCUUCAUUGAAUCUUUCUGAUUUUUAUGACAG